GAAGUACCAGUGUAAAGAUUAGUAUUAAAUGGGGAUUGGGGAGGGGAAGGGGAGUUGAGAGUUGCAGACUUGUGUCCUAAGAUUGGGCAUUUAGGUUCUCAGUUGGACUAAUGCUUCUGUUUUCAAUCUCUUCUUGGCUGAAGUCCUUUGAGAAAAACUCCUAAGUUUGCUCUGGGUGCAGCUAACCUUCCAGAACCCAAAUCGCAAUUCAGAGGAGUGAUCUGUGACUAGGCCUUAAUUGGAAGAAAAUGCUUCACUUGCUUGGUCCAGCCCUCUGCCCAUCCUCACCAGCUUUGAAGAUGCCACUGCUACUUCCUCUUCCCUCCUCCCUGGGAUGCUGAUCACCCCUUUUCCACUCCAGCCACAUCUGUGGGCUGUUGCAACAACUUCAGAGCUGAGCCAGAUCAAAUGCACCUACCCGGACCACGGUGACACACUCUGGAGCUGCUCGGGCAUAGUGAAACAGGCUGUGUUGACAAGCGGGAACUUCUGCUUGAGCCAAAACUUUGGCAACAGUUUUUUUUCUGGAAGCCAGGGCAGCAACACUUCUCUGGUCCUGACAGAAAAGGCAAAACGCUCACCGGUCCAGUCUACCACUCUUGACAUACUUCUAAUGUCAUGA
Molecule: long non-coding RNA, 622 nt
Filed under: Anser brachyrhynchus (Pink-footed goose)
Lineage: Eukaryota; Metazoa; Chordata; Aves; Anseriformes; Anatidae
Description: lncRNA (ENSABRG00000012331.1)
Source: RNAcentral